Molecule: long non-coding RNA, 4356 nt
Organism: Hemicordylus capensis (graceful crag lizard)
Lineage: Eukaryota; Metazoa; Chordata; Lepidosauria; Squamata; Cordylidae
Exons: 2
Source: RefSeq, a predicted model, not a curated record
GCUUGUUCGGGCUCUCGGAAGUCCAGGCCACACACCCUUUGCACAUGAUGUCACAAGCAAAGGGGCCAUGGCCUGGGCUACUAAGAGCCGGAAUGAGCCGCAAUGAGCUCUCAGCUCAUCAUUUCAGGCAGCGUUGGCUGCCUGAUAGGACUUUUCCCUUUCUCCAGAGAGGGAGAGGAAGGGAAAAACGUUCUACCGGGCAGUCAGCGCUGCCUGAAAUAACUAGCGCAGAGUUCGCCCGGGGUUUCGGCAGCCCAGGCACGGGUGGGAGGAGUUCACUCUGGGCUCCACUGGAGCCCAAGCCAUGGGGUUUCGGCAGCCUUUUCCAUUGGCAGCCAGAGUUCUUUGAACCCAUUGGCCCAAUGAUGGCUCUGCCCCUGGCUGCCAGGGAAGAGGGCAGUGGUGCUUUAGGCACUGGGUUAGGGGUGUGCCGAACCAGUUCGAAGGUUCAUGUGGCAUGGCUGCCUCCAUUUUCUGCAUCUCUUGACAAAAAUCCUGCCCUUGCUAUUGGUUUUCUGCCACUGUCUUCCAAUUGGCUAGUGAUCUCCUUUAUCCUGGUUGGCUUGUUGACAUUCAAAUCAGAGUGUUGUCAGGACAACUCUGCCCCUAUUGGCUGGGGGAGGAGAGGGAUGAGGGAGUGGAGCACAAAGGAGGUCAUUUCAAAGUGUAUUUAGAGUGUACUUCACUCUGCCUCUGGAUCUCUGGAGGAGGACCUAGUUGCCUGCCUUUGCAGGACCUGCUGCUGCCGCUGCUACUGUCACCCUUAUUGUAACUACUGCUGCUCCUGCUGCUGCCUUUGCUGGACCUUCUUGUUGGGAUAUGGAACAGCUGCAUCCUAACUUACUGUGUAUAGUUUGCAUGUAAUCUGCUAUGAUGCCAGGGGGGCCCCGGUAGUUUCCUCUGUACUGGUUGGGCUAGUUAGGAGUUUUUAUUCUCCCUCUUGUUCCUGUGCUUUUCUUUCUGUGUGAGUCAGCAAGUUCUGUACUGAUCUCUAAGUGCCUCUUCGGGUUGUCUCACAAGUAAAGUUAUCUUAAACCUUUAUCCGGUGUUUGUUCUGAAAACCACGCAGACAGCUUGCAUUCUGCAACAUUUCUGCCUUUGCUGGACCUGCUGGAAUGGAGAGAUGGCUUGGGUGGUUGAUACAAUUGCUCCCAGGUGCCCUCUCCCUCAAAGCAUAGGGAGCCAGCAUAGCAUAGUGGUUAGAGUGUUGGACUAGGACCAGGAAGACCCGAGUUUGAAUCCCCAUUUAGCUAUGAAACUCACUGGGUGACUCUGGGCCGUCAUGUAUCUCUCAACCUAACCUAACUCACAGGGUUGUGGUGAGGAUAAAAAUAAGCAUGUAUACUGCUCUGAGCUCCUCAGAGGAAGAGUGGGAUACAAAUGUAAAUAAAUAAAUAAAUAAAAUACAGCAGAGCCCAUGCAACACCUUGGUAUACACCUGACCUGAGGACAAUGAAGCAAGCUGGGAGACAGCUGGAACGUAAGUAGAAGAAAACUUGGGGUGAAUCUGGGUGAACACAGGCAGCAGCAGCAGAUUUGCAGGAGGGCCAAAAGUUGAGCUUCCCUGCCCUUAGGGGAUGGGGCCCUAACUCAGUGGUAGAGCAUCUACUUGGCAUGCAGACGAUCCCAGGUUCUCUCCUUGAUAUCUCCAGGUAGGGCUGGGAGAGACUCCUGCCUGCAACCUUGGAGAGCUACUGCCAGCCAGUGUAGACCAUGGUGAGCUGGAUGGACCAAGGGUCUGACUCAUUAUAAAGCAGCUUUCCUUGUAUCUAUACAUACCCAGCAGUUGUACUCAGCUGUUUGAUGAGGUCGGUGGAAAAGACCUUGUACCCCGCUUGAGCCUCACACACAAUCACAUCCUCCCGCUCCUACCUUGCUUUUCCCUUGCAGAUGAUCAAAACCCAGGAGCGCACACAGCUCCUGAACGUGGCUAGCACACUUGUCCUACCCAACUGAGGAUUGUGAGAACAGUCCAAAUGGUGUGUUUGUGAAGGUUGGCCUACACUCUCAGAUACAUGGUUGUGUUUUGACUUCUGGCCACUGUGGCCGAGGAUGGUGGGAGUUGUAGUCCAACACCUUCGACCACUGUGGCAGGAAUGAUGGGAGCUGUAGUCCAACAACAUGUGGGGACCAAAAGCUGGGGGCUCCUGUUACAAGAGUCCAAGGGUGAACUACAGCUCCCAUCAUCCUCAGCCACAAUGGCUAUGGGUACUGGACUACAACUCCCAUCAUUCUCAGGCACAAUGAUCAAAGGUGAGGGGAGUUGCAAUCCAGCACCUUCAGCCAUUGUGGCUGGGGAUGAUGGGAGUUGUAGUUCAGCAACAUCUGGGGACACAAAGGCUGGGAAAUCUUAUUUAGUGCUAGCCUGGUGCUGUACAAAACAUAGCUAUCAUUUUGAUUCUUCAUCCAGCAGAAUCUAGAGGUAAAGUGCUUCCUAGAUAAUACCACUUCAGGCCAAGGAGCCAGCAUAGUGUAGUAGUCAGUGUGUUGGACAAAGACCAGGGCAACCCAAGUUCGAAUCCCCAUUCAACCAUGAAACUCAAUGGGUGACGAUGGGCCAGUCAUGUAUCUCUCAGCCUAACGCACCUCACAGGGUUGUUGUGAGGAUAAAAAUGAGCAUGUGCGCCACUCUGAGCUCCUCGGAGGAAGAGCGGGAUAUAAAUGUGAUAAAUGAAUAAAUAAAAUCAUUGCAUAGAGUGCAACUGACUUCUGAGUAAACAUGCACAAGAUUGGACUGUGUCUCUUUUUUUCUCUAGGCCAGGUUAUGUACCUCUAAUGUUUUGACCUAUGAUGAGUGGAAGACCCUGACUUGGGACAGGAGGUUGCUCUUAAGGAACAUGUAGUUCUUUCACUCUUUGUGAUUUUGCUCGAUCAGCUAUUCUUCUAAGUAUAAGAGCUUUUCCCCCAUGAGGGAGCAACCAGGUAAAGCCUCCACUUACAACCUGCAGUGGUGCAGCAAGGAAAUGGGACUCUGCUAAAUGUAUACACUGAGCUUUCUAAGAAUGAUCCCUGGCAGCCAAGUUGAAGAACUAGUCAAUACAUCUCUUGGAAUAUCUUCCAUUUUUAAAUGUUUCGCAAACAAUUUUCAAAUCAUGUACAUAUUUUUUGUCUUUACUUCUAGAUCUCAUGAAGCAAGUCAAGAGACUGGAAGUGGCAGACCCUCUGUACAGGAUACUACAUUAGACCACCUUCAACCAGCUCCUCCCCCAUGAGAGAAAGUGAGACCAUGGGACAAUCACAACAAUGGUAUCUCCUUGGCCAGUUCCACAAUGUCUUCCCAGACAUGGACAAACUGAUUGCAUCUACGGAACCUUUUUUUCUGGACUGCUUCUGUCCAAAGGGCUGCCAACAGGAAGCAGUCUGUGGAAACCAGCUCCACAAGAGAUGUACUUUUGGAGCUGUUUCUGCUAGGAAAUGAUGGGAACUGAGGAAAUCCAAAAUGUUGGAUGUUCAUUUCAGGAUGGAGCUAAGGACACUGCAAUACAGAAAGUAGCAUCUGUCCUGCUUCAUCGUCACUGGUGCCUAUGAAGAUCUUGUUGAAGAAGAAAAGGGCAGUAGUAAUUUCUUUGGGUUUGGGAAUGGAAAUCUAGGCAGAGGAGGAGCUAAGAAACCUGACUUGGUUCUUAUUAGUUAGUCAAGAGGUCAUGACUUCAAAGGAGAGGACGAGGGGGUCUUGUACCAAAGGGUCAGGGGGAGGAGAAAUCCUUCUGUGUAGAAGGAGCCUCUGAGCUGAAAGGCUUCUCUUUGGAGAGUGAUUUUCCUAAGGAGACCAUGCAAUGUGUCAACCCAAGGUCUUAAGCCACUAAGCUAUUCCUAAAGGAAGGAUCCCAAAGCUCACCUGCAAGAAAUUAAGAAUGGGGAUGUGGAGUAAUUACAAAGAGGGCACUUCUUUCUUGGGCAUGUGAAGAGUGAUUCUCCUUAACAUGGAGUAACCAUGGCAAUAUACACAUUCAUGUUUAGGAAUGCUAGGAAAGCCAGCCCCAGGGUAAGACAGGGAACUUGCAUGCUAGCUGGAGUCCUGGUGACUCUCACUGGAGAAAAUAAAGUAAGUCAGAUCAAUUUAUUCCCCAAAUACCCGAUCUCUUGUUCCAUCAGUCUCUCCCUCAUCCAUUUGAAUGUUCACCUUGAUAGGUUUUUCUCCUCCAUGAAACUGUAUAGCAACACAUCAUUAUCAGCCGUUUCUGACAGAAAUGGGAGGCUAUUUGCAGCUUUGAAGUGUAUUUUCUCAUCAAAACGUUUAUGCUACAUUCUGAUCUAUGUUGUACAGGAUAAUUUGAGAUUUGGUUAUUGUUUGUUUAGGUUUUUAUUGGAAAUGUAGAGAUGAUCUUUGGUGCUAUAAAGUUUUGAAACAAUGAA